RNAcentral lists this ribosomal RNA (490 nucleotides) under uncultured bacterium. Its description in RNAcentral is "partial 16S ribosomal RNA". It matches the Rfam family "Bacterial small subunit ribosomal RNA", at positions 30 to 507 of the family's 1533-position model. The record is from RNAcentral.
AUUGAACGCUGGCGGCAGGCCUAACACAUGCAAGUCGAACGGUAACAGGAAGCAGCUUGCUGCUUUGCUGACGAGUGGCGGACGGGUGAGUAAUGUCUGGGAAACUGCCCGAUGGAGGGGGAUAACUACUGGAAACGGUAGCUAAUACCGCAUAACGUCGCAAGACCAAAGAGGGGGACCUUAGGGCCUCUUGCCAUCGGAUGUGCCCAGAUGGGAUUAGCUAGUAGGUGGGGUAACGGCUCACCUAGGCGACGAUCCCUAGCUGGUCUGAGAGGAUGACCAGCCACACUGGAACUGAGACACGGUCCAGACUCCUACGGGAGGCAGCAGUGGGGAAUAUUGCACAAUGGACGCAAGCCUGAUGCAGCCAUGCCGCGUGUAUGAAGAAGGCCUUCGGGUUGGAAAGUACUUUCAGCGGGGAGGAAGGGAGUAAAGUUAAUACCUUUACUCAUUGACGUUACCCGCAGAAGAAGCACCGGCUAACUCCGUG